Rosa chinensis is the source of this 635-nucleotide long non-coding RNA. RefSeq lists it as uncharacterized. Lineage: Eukaryota; Viridiplantae; Streptophyta; Magnoliopsida; Rosales; Rosaceae. The transcript has 5 exons. The record is from RefSeq and is a predicted model, not a curated record.
AUCAGCUUCUGUUACUUUGGAUUCAGAUCAACGGAAAAAAGAAACAAUGAAUGGAAGACAAGUAGCCUGUUGCUCAAAACAUAUGGGUAGAUCAUCAUCCUGGUGGUGGGCAUUGGUUUGCUGCGGGUCUCUCUCCUAAUAUUCCAGGCAGAAACAGGGUCUCCAUGCAUAGCAGCCCACAUUUUCAGGAUUGAAGGAGCGUCUUGGAGAAUAUUACUUGCAGUCAUGACUAUGAUCUAUGAAUUGUAGAUGUGAUCUUUGUUUAUGUGGCUUGUUUAUGUAGUCAUCCAUGGAGGAGAAGUGGAAGUUGCAGAUAUCAUGCCUAGAUUUGUUUAUUUUUUCUUUCACAAAAGUGAUUUGAUAACAACUAUUGAGGUUGUAUAUUAAUUUUCAUUUUUUUUUAAAUUUUAAAUAUUGCAGUCACCAUUGUUAGAUAGUGUGUUUUCUGAUGAUGGGGCCCACAGUUUGUAAGUCACCAAAAAAAUGAUAGUGCAUUUUUGAGUCUUUGUCACGCCAGCAAUGGCAACCAUUCAAAUUUUGGUGUCUAAGAUGGUGACUAUUGCCAUUACACACCAAUCAUUGUUGUCUUUUACUUCAAUCCACACCAUUGUGAAUGGUGUUUAUAGCUCAGUUUU